GAUGAAGAACGCAGCGAAAUGCGAUACGUAAUGUGAAUUGCAGAAUUCAGUGAAUCAUCGAGUCUUUGAACGCACAUUGCGCCCCCUGGUAUUCCGGGGGGCAUGCCUGUCCGAGCGUCAUUGCUGCCCUCAAGCACGGCUUGUGUGUUGGGCCUCCGUCCUCCUCCUGGGGGACGGGCCCGAAAGGCAGCGGCGGCACCGCGUCCGGUCCUCGAGCGUAUGGGGCUUCGUCACCCGCUCUUGUAGGCCCGGCCGGCGCUUGCCGACACAUCAAUCUUUUUUCCAGGUUGACCUCGGAUCAGGUAGGGAUACCCGCUGAACUUAAGCAUAUCAAUAAGCGGAGGA
This 345-nucleotide unclassified non-coding RNA is filed under the name soil metagenome. RNAcentral's name for it is "partial contains 5.8S ribosomal RNA, internal transcribed spacer 2, and large subunit ribosomal RNA". The stretch from base 1 to 120 matches the Rfam family "5.8S ribosomal RNA", at positions 35 to 154 of the family's 154-position model. The record is from RNAcentral.